UGGGGGCAGAGCGUCUUUGAUGGAAGAGUUUGAAAAGUUUGUCUACUUCUAAUUAAAUCGAUGACUGGAGAAAGAAGUGUUUGAACGGCAGCCAUUGACAAAUUGACGUCCAUGAUGGGAACAUCAUUGUGUUGGCGACUGCUGUUGGUCUUUUCUUCUUGGUUGGUGGUAAACUAUGGAUCCCAGUUGGCGUCUAGAAAAAGCCUUUCAUAGUUAGCAUGCCAUGUAAUACGAGGUUAGUAUAAUUCAUUAGAUGG
RNAcentral lists this long non-coding RNA (257 nucleotides) under Elaeis guineensis (African oil palm). RNAcentral describes it as "long non-coding RNA (EGUI_LNC021112)". The record is from RNAcentral. Lineage: Eukaryota; Viridiplantae; Streptophyta; Magnoliopsida; Arecales; Arecaceae.